AACGAUAACGAAAUUUUCAGUUAGUCGAGACACGGUUCGACAAACGAUAAGUUUCAUAUUACUUCCACGAGAUAGCGCUGCUUUCUAUGCGCUGUCACCACGGCAAGCUUUUUCCUUGCGAAAUAAUGGACAGUGAUAUUAUUCCGCUCGGAGGCUCGCGAAAUUUUGACAGAUUGCGAUAAAAGAAUACAUAAAAAACAAGUCUUGUACAUUUUUUGUAUUUUUUCAUCGCAAGCUGUCAAAACUUGUUUUUAUAGAAUUUGCUUUUGUGGUGUAAUAUUCGGAACUCCCAAACAAACCCGUAUUCAGUCGAUACAGCGUGUGAUUAUACAGCUGAAGAAGUCAGUACCGUGUUCAGUGCAUUGUAAUUUGUAAUAUCGAGCAGCAACCAUAGCGGACACACAUCAUCGAACACCAGCAACAGAAUACCAAGGUCACCAUGGUCAGAGAACGCAGUAAUAAUGGGGCAACAGUAAACAACAUCAAGAUGCUGGUAAAGGACUUUCUCUUUCGAACAAACAUUAUGGAAACCUGAGUGCUUACAUACACUCUGAUGGAAACGUCGUAUCCUCUACACGAACGUGUCCAAUCGCUGUGACUCGUUUGGAAAACAAACAAAAGAAGGCAUUGUUUUUUCCGCAAGGUCGCUCUGAGAAAAAUUUCAGCAAAUUGCAAGGAAUGAACCCCCGGAGGGGUACUGGUGUCGAUUCAGGACGUUUUCCCAUACAUUGUAGCUAUUGAAUUUUGAUACCCGGUCGAAACGAUGGCAAGCGCUGCCGAUAACUGGGUCAAAAAAGCGGAUGGUCAGUAAAUUUCUGUACACGGCGGCUGACAGUCCAGAGAAUGUAUAAAUGUCUAGUUUAUCGGCAAUCGAGCCAGCGAGAAUCGGCUGCACCUGCAGUUUUGAGUUCGAUAGCUGCGAAAAUUCUGACUUUAGCAAGCGAAAAUGGAGAAACAGCUAACCUGGCGGAUGCAAUUUCACUACUGAAAAUUAUUCGCAAAGGUCUGGUAGAAUCAAAGCUGGAUCUGGAGGUGAAGCGAAAGAAUGCUUCUUCCCCGCUAUACUCGGUUAACACUUUCGAAGCUUUGCACAAAAGCAGGAACUGCUUCAGGGAGUCUAUGCUAUGGGUUCCAACGCCCCUUCCUAGAUUCACGAUACGGCUUUACCUACUCUAUUGGCCGAUCUGCCACAGAACAUGAUCGCCAAGUCAAUCGGGAACAGGAAAAAUAGCUGCUUUAGUGCUGGCAAUGCUCAGUCGAUUCGAUCUGUUAAAAAACUAUCCGCAGGUAAUUUGCCUUUCCGCCACGCAUGAUGUGGCAACUCAGAAGGAGAAAGUAGCUGCCAAAUGACAAAGGAUUUUCAGGAAAUCAAACUUCGUUACACCGUUCGCGGUGAGAAUAUCGUCAAAGAGGUGAAGCAGACUAAUCAUAUCAUUAUCGAAACACCCGGUAAGCUGAUAGACUGGGGAAUAAAGUUUCAGGCGUUCGACCUUAAGAGAUUGCCGUUUUGUACUGGACGAAGCGGGCGUUAUGAUCGUUACCCAGGGCAACCAGGAUCAGUGCAUCCGGAUACAGAAGCAGCUGUCGUCGUCCUGCCUGAUGAUGUUCUUCUCGGCCACGUACGAGUGGGAGGUGAUGGAGUUCGCCGAGUACAUCGUAACCUAUCUGAUCGUCAUUCGGCUGGCGCGGAAACAAGAAUCACUCGAAUCGGACUCAAACAGUACUACGUCAAGUGCCGUCAAGAUCUACGGUGUGAUUACCGUCAGACAAGCGAUCAUUUUCUGUCAUAUGAUGUAUAGAACAGUUAUAAGCUCCAAGUAAACUUAUUUUCGGCAUCGUCAAUCGAUCGAAACAGGCACGCAAAACAGCCGGUUGGUCUGGCAAGAUGUCGCAGGAUUGUCAGUCGGUAACGGUGCUGUCCGGUGAUGUAACGGUGGAGGAACGGUUGGCCGUUCUGGAUCGAUUUCGUGCCGGACUAGAGAAGCUACUGAUUAUAACGAACGUUUUGUCCAGGGGUAUCGACGUCGAACAGGUGACUAUUGUUAAUUUCAACCUGCCGAAGGGAUGAGCCGGUUGCGAUACGUAUCUGCAUCGAAUUAGACGCACCGGUAGGUGUGACACAUUCUUGUGUUUUAUAAAUUGUAUUUUUCCCGCUUCUGUAACGGAAAGGAAUCACCAUCAACCUAGUGGACAGUGAUCGAAGCAAGAUGAUUUGCAGCUCAAUAGAAAAACACUUCCAGAAAAGAUUCCGCUACUAGACGUUGAGAAAUCGGACGAAAUUGAAAAGAUCGGAUCGCAACAGUGUUUUCGACCAGGUGAAAGGCGCAGGAGCUUUUUUGGGUCAUACUUGUUUCGAUUCUGAAUUUAAAUAUAGUAAUUUGAUUUAGCUGUACCAAGUUCUUGCCAAACAUUUGAAAUGAACCUAACUGCAAAAUGUAACAUAUUGAAUUUUCAUGUUUUCCAUUAACAAAUAUCUACCCGAACACGUACAUAACGCAACAUUUAAUUAUGAAGAAUUUUGAUAACGAUUUCCGGAUUUUUAUGACAAAACUGAUUAUUAAAGGGCCUAACUGAUUACAAAAGAACUUAAUUGAUUAUAAAAGUGUCUGAUUUCAAAAGCGCCAACUGAUUGAAAAGUUCUUAGCUAGAAAUACACUCAUUUUAAAAGGACUAACGAAUUAAUGUAUUAUAACCAGGUAUGCACAAGAACGGUGCUGCUCUGUGUCCUAUUCCUGUGCACUGGCUCUUAAUGUGUCACAGCUAAAUUAAUUUAGCUAGAGCUUGUGCUGGUUUUAGAUGAGCUAGAGCUAGCAAGUAGCACGAGCACCGAUUAGUGAGAGCACUCGCUAGCACGGUGAUAGCUAGCACGCUGCAUGGAGCUAUACACGCAGAAUUUUAUUUAUGCAUCAAUAGCAUACUUUUCUAUAGG
Topomyia yanbarensis is the source of this 2929-nucleotide long non-coding RNA. RefSeq lists it as uncharacterized. The transcript is spliced from 7 exons. The record is from RefSeq and is a predicted model, not a curated record. Lineage: Eukaryota; Metazoa; Arthropoda; Insecta; Diptera; Culicidae.